AUUUGCCCUUCAAGGGAUGGAAGGGCAUCCUGCUAUCCUGCAUAUGGGUGAACACAUCCCUGCUCAUGGGAAGUGUGAGUGAAUGAGUUGCUGUUUGGGGCCUGAUUGCCAGCUGGAGUUAGACCAUGACAAGGCUUCUGUUACAUAUCUAUUCAUAAGAGCUGUCUGCCUGUGAUAUUCAUAAGGAUUCACUUUAAUCUCCAAAUUGGAACAGCAUUAAGAAGGAAUGCCCACUGCUUAGCUUAUCUUAAACUCCAGUACAUAUGAAUACUAUAAAGCCAUAACCUGUGAAGUGGAUUGCUCAAUACAUUAUUCAUUCCCUUCUCUAGAAAGUGUCGUCACAAAAGUAAGUUAAAUUUCAGAAAAAUAAACUAAGUAUGUUGCAACAAUGGUGCAUACAUUUCAAUAGUAUUUUAUUUUUUAUUUCUAGCUAAGCAGAAAACCAAACUGAGCAUCUACUCAU
Passer montanus (Eurasian tree sparrow) is the source of this 463-nucleotide long non-coding RNA. RefSeq lists it as uncharacterized. The transcript is spliced from 3 exons. Lineage: Eukaryota; Metazoa; Chordata; Aves; Passeriformes; Passeridae. The record is from RefSeq and is a predicted model, not a curated record.